GCAGAACGCGAAGAACCUUACCUAGGCUUGACAUGCUAGAGAAAGUCCUGUGAAAGCAGGGCCCUCCUUCGGGACUCUAGCACAGGUGCUGCAUGGCUGUCGUCAGCUCGUGUCGUGAGAUGUUGGGUUAAGUCCCGCAACGAGCGCAACCCUCAUCCUUUGUUGCUAACAGGUAAUGCUGAGAACUCUAAGGAAACUGCCGGAGUUAAUCCGGAGGAAGGUGGGGAUGACGUCAAGUCCUCAUGGCCCUUACGGCCUGGGCUACACACGUGUUACAAUGGCAGUGACAAUCGGAAGCUACCCUGCGAGGGGACGCAAAUCUGAGAAAGCUGCCUCAGUUCGGAUUGUACUCUGCAACUCGAGUACAUGAAGUUGGAAUCGCUAGUAAUCGUAGAUCAGCAUGCUACGGUGAAUACGUUCCCGGGUCUUGUACACACCG
Molecule: ribosomal RNA, 439 nt
Filed under: uncultured bacterium
Lineage: Bacteria
Description: bacterial SSU rRNA
Rfam family: Bacterial small subunit ribosomal RNA
Source: RNAcentral